AACGCACGAGACCUGCGGACCUGCGGAAGGAUCAUUACCGAGUUAUCCGACUCCCAACCCCUGUGAAUUAUACCUUUAAUUGUUGCUUCGGCGGGACUUCGCGCCCGCCGGGGACCCAAACCUUCUGAAUUUUUUAAUAAGUAUCUUCUGAGUGGUUAAAAAAAUGAAUCAAAACUUUUAACAAUGGAUCUCU
RNAcentral lists this unclassified non-coding RNA (193 nucleotides) under soil metagenome. RNAcentral describes it as "partial contains 5.8S ribosomal RNA, internal transcribed spacer 2, and large subunit ribosomal RNA". The record is from RNAcentral.